AGUUCACAGACAUUUUGAUAUUUUUCAAUAAUUUAUAUUUUAUAAACUUUGAAAUAUGAGAUCCAGACAGCUGGUGCUUUCGUGGGGGAAUAAGGUAGCGCAGGACAAAAUGUAGCUAAUUUUCUUUUAUAUGAAAAAAAAAAGGGAAAAAAAGUCAAAUUUAAGGAAUUUAAAUACCUGUCUGCUUAUACAGUUCUGUAUAGAUAAGGCUGAUGCUGGCCCAUCAUUAUCUCCACAAAUAUUU
Molecule: long non-coding RNA, 244 nt
Organism: Sinocyclocheilus grahami
Lineage: Eukaryota; Metazoa; Chordata; Actinopteri; Cypriniformes; Cyprinidae
Exons: 3
Source: RefSeq, a predicted model, not a curated record